UACAGAGGUCCCAAGCGUUGUUCGGAUUCAUUGGGCGUAAAGGGUGCGUAGGUGGCGCCGUAAGUCGGGUGUGAAAUCUCGGGGCUUAACUCCGGAACUGCAUUCGAUACUGCGGUGCUUGAGGACUGGAGAGGAGACUGGAAUUUACGGUGUAGCGGUGAAAUGCGUAGAGAUCGGAAGGAAGACCAGUGGCGAAGGCGGGUCUCUGGACAGUUCCUGACACUGAGGCACGAACGCGAGGGGAGCAAACGGG
RNAcentral lists this ribosomal RNA (253 nucleotides) under uncultured bacterium. RNAcentral describes it as "partial 16S ribosomal RNA". It matches the Rfam family "Bacterial small subunit ribosomal RNA", at positions 524 to 776 of the family's 1533-position model. The record is from RNAcentral.